RNAcentral lists this ribosomal RNA (253 nucleotides) under uncultured bacterium. RNAcentral's name for it is "partial 16S ribosomal RNA". It matches the Rfam family "Bacterial small subunit ribosomal RNA", at positions 524 to 776 of the family's 1533-position model. The record is from RNAcentral.
UACGUAGGGGGCUAGCGUUGUCCGGAAUCAUUGGGCGUAAAGCGCGCGUAGGCGGCCCGGUAAGUCCGCUCUGAAAGUCCAGGGCUCAACCCUGGAAAGCGGGUGGAUACUGCCGGGCUAGAAUCCGGAAGAGGCGAGUGGAAUUCCUGGUGUAGCGGUGGAAUGCGCAGAUAUCGGGAGGAACACCGGUGGCGAAGGCGGUUCUCUGGGCCUGACCUGACGCUGAGGAGCGAAAGCGUGGGGAGCGAACAGG